Long non-coding RNA from Balaenoptera ricei (Rice's whale), 1943 nucleotides. RefSeq lists it as uncharacterized. The transcript is spliced from 4 exons. Lineage: Eukaryota; Metazoa; Chordata; Mammalia; Artiodactyla; Balaenopteridae. The record is from RefSeq and is a predicted model, not a curated record.
AUCCUGUUUUGGUGGUGCAGCUCUUGGGAUCAGUGCUCUGAGCACCCAGCAGAAGAGGCUCUGAAUGCUUCGGGCUCAGUUAGUCAAGCACCGUGAGCUGCAACAGGGAACAUACAGACAGGAGGCCAGCUGGAGUCUCUCUCUUUCACUUCCUGACGUGUACACCCCGUCAACCCUCAAAUUUCAGCCUCCGAAGCUCCGAGAAAGCCCCUUGGGGAAUACUCUGCUCCUCCCUUUCACUGGGCAGAGCGACCAGCACAGGCUGUGGUCUCCUCGGAAGCUUUGGUGGGAUGCAGGCAGCAUCUGGGAGAAGGCGCCUCGGAACUCACGUGCCCGCGUUGCCCAGGACCCCAAUUCCUUCCACCUCUCGGAUGCUGCUUUCUUUUCCCAGGGACAGAGCCAAGCUGUAAUUGACUCCUUGGGUAUUUCAGAGUCCCUGAUCCCAAGACUGAAGGAUGACUCCCUGCUGUUGUGAAAGGUGCGCUGAAUCGACAGUCCUGAGUUUUGAAGUUUUCCUGGAGGGGACGUGAGGGGAUUUCUCCAGGAUCGAUGGAACUCCUUUUGUGGUGCUUCAGUGCUUCCACCAUGAAGCGCUCAUUUCCCUAUGCACGUCCCCCCGCCCCACCCCACUGUUUCCUUUACUCUCUCUCCUCCCACCCCCAAUUCCCAGAAGAAGAUCUAGGAAUCAGGUCCAAACAUAAGAUCUUUGGAGAAUCCUUGCGUGUGUUUUUUUAAAUUUUUAUUGGAGUAUAGUUGAUUUACAAUGUUGUGUUAGUUCCGGGUGUACAGCAAAGUGAAGCAGUUAUACAUAUACAUAUAAUCCACUCUUUUUUAGACUCUUUUCCCAUACAGGUCAUUACAGAGUACUGAGUAGAGUUCCCUGUGCUAUACAGUAGGUCCUGAUUAGUCAUCUAGUUUAUAGGUAGUGUUGUGUAUAUGUCAAUCCCAAUCUCCCAAUUUAUCCCUCUCCCCUCCCCACUUUCCCCCCCUGGUAACCAUAAGUUUGUUUUCUACACCUGUGACUCUAUUUCGAAUCCUUGUGUUUUACUCUCGUCCUGAAACUAGAUAAAGCCUAGUCAUCAAUCAACAAGUGAGGAAGUAGAGCCAGGCAUUGGUUGAGUGUUGAUGUUUCUGGUACAAGCUGACUCUCCGCUCAUCAUCCCACACCUUCAUCAGCCAUCAUCAUGCUGUCUGUCACCUCCUCUUCUCUGAAGAAGGCCCGGGCCAUCUUUUGAAAAUACAAAGUCCAGCAUUGAGACCCUCCCAACUGAGAGAGCAGGAAGGGCCAGGGCUGCUGAGGUGCUCCCUGAACCCCACUCAGGGGAUCUGUGUUGUUCCCACCUGGGUGUAUUGUGUGGACCCCCUAAAAUUCCUCCAAACCUCUGCCUCUGCGCUUCCAGAUUGCCCCUGAAAGAAAUGAACAAUAAUCAUAAUACCCACCACGUACUGACCGCUGGUCUCUUGAGGGCUGCCUUGCCAUUGGACAACAUUUGUUGAGCUCCUACUGUUUGCCAGACAGCGGGUACAUGCUUUAUGUGUGUUUAGCCCUUCUGACAACACUGUGAUUUAGGACCUGUUAAUAUGUCUAUUUUGCUGAAAUGGAAACUGAGGUUCAGAGUGGUUAAAUAACAAGGAAAAGUCCAUGUUUUUACCCCCUACACUAAUAUAUAUGUAUAUUUGUGUAUAUAUAUUCUAUAUAUGUAUAUUUAACAUGUAUAUGAUGUUGACUGAAAAAAAUGCACAACCUCAAAGUUGAGAAAUAUGUUUUAUUGGGUGGGCAAAACUGAGGACUUAAGCCUGGGACACAGCCUCUCAGCUCUCUCUGAGGGACUGAUCCAAAAAGGAGAGGGAGGAGCCAUCAACUAUAGGAGUUUUUGCAACAAAGACCAGGUAAUCGGAACAUGGAAAGAUUCCUGUUAAUUAAAGAAAACCAGACAUCUCGA